This 501-nucleotide ribosomal RNA is filed under the name uncultured Glomus. RNAcentral's name for it is "SSU rRNA". It matches the Rfam family "Eukaryotic small subunit ribosomal RNA", at positions 569 to 1074 of the family's 1831-position model. Lineage: Eukaryota; Fungi; Glomeromycota; Glomeromycetes; Glomerales; Glomeraceae. The record is from RNAcentral.
AGCAGCCGCGGUAAUUCCAGCUCCAAUAGCGUAUAUUAAAGUUGUUGCAGUUAAAAAGCUCGUAGUUGAAUUUCGGGAUCAGUACGCUGGUCGUGCCUUUGGUAUGUACUGGUGUCACUGAUUCCUCCCUUCUGAAGAACCGUUAUGCCAUUUAUUUGGUGUGGCGGGGAAUCAGGACUGUUACUUUGAAAAAAUUAGAGUGUUUAAAGCAGGCUCGCGCUUGAAUACAUUAGCAUGGAAUAAUGAAAUAGGACGUUUGAUCUUAUUUUGUUGGUUUCUAGGAUCGACGUAAUGAUUAAUAGGGAUAGUUGGGGGCAUUAGUAUUCAAUUGUCAGAGGUGAAAUUCUUGGAUUUAUUGAAGACUAACUACUGCGAAAGCAUUUGCCAAGGAUGUUUUCAUUAAUCAAGAACGAAAGUUAGGGGAUCGAAGACGAUCAGAUACCGUCGUAGUCUUACCAUAAACUAUGCCGACUAGGGAUCGGAUGAUGUUAUUUUUAAUGA